UUCUUUCAAACUUUCAUUAAGGUGUUUGGUUUGUGAUGGUGUAGGACAGUGCAGUUCUCUCUGGAUGAAAAGCCUCCUUUUCUAAAUGUUGGCAUGCGCCACUUAAGAAGUUUGAUGAUAAAAUUUGUCAUCAGGCCUUGGUCUUUUUCUCUAGGUAACGAAGGGGAGGUGUGUGUGGGUGAACUUUGAGGGGCAGUGCUCCUUUGAGGCUAUGGGUUUUUAGAAUCUAGAAGUGCUUAGACAUCUGUGACACCCUGUCUUUAAUUGCCUCAGUUAAGGAGCAAUGUAGAUAUCAAAGAGAUUACACUAAUUAAUUUUAAACCUAACGGAUUUUACCUAAUAAUGACAUAUGGAUCAUGAGAACUACAGAAUUCUUGUUACUUAAUGACCUUGUCAAAACCUCAGCAAAAAGAGACCACCAGACUGUAGUGAGGCUUGUAGCAGCAAAAGGUCGUGUUCCUAGGAUGACUGCAGAUCUCUCCCCAGGCCUCUCGGUUAAAUGUCUCCCAGAGAAAACUGAAUACUGCCCACCUGGCCAUAGGCCCUUGACCCCCUUUCUUGGAGCAUUUACAAAAAAAGAGCUUACAAUUGUGAGUCCUUCCUCUGUCCCCUUGACAUGUAUGUGUUCUCUCCUACAAUUCAGGAGUAUCUAAGGACCUGAAAGCCAUUCCUUUGAAGUUUAAUCAUCUGGAAGGUUACUGUCUCCCAUUCUUGGUGGGAGGGUAGAAUCCUGACUUCAGUGAUAAUCGCCGGCUAGCUGACACAGCUGGUCUAAUCACUUUUAUACUGACUGACUUUGAAAUUUUUUGCAUGCAUUCCGGCUCUUUCACCCUCCCCUAUUCUCUCUGUAAGCUGCUCAAUUACCUCUACAUUGAAAUGGAAUGCUGCUCUUUCCCCUCCUGUUAGUAAUUACUGAAUAAAAUUAUUUUUCACCA
Long non-coding RNA from Cercocebus atys (sooty mangabey), 935 nucleotides. RefSeq lists it as uncharacterized. NCBI's taxonomy places the organism in Eukaryota, Metazoa, Chordata, Mammalia, Primates, Cercopithecidae. The record is from RefSeq and is a predicted model, not a curated record. The transcript has 2 exons.